UGUUCCUACGGGGGGCAGCAGUGAGGAAUAUUGGUCAAUGGGCGGAAGCCUGAACCAGCCAAGUCGCGUGAGGGAGUAAGGCCCUACGGGUCGUAAACCUCUUUUGCCGGGGAGCAAGGGCGGGGACGUGUCCCGGCCCGGAGAGUACCCGGAGAAAAAGCAUCGGCUAACUCCGUGCCAGCAGCCGCGGUAAUACGGAGGAUGCGAGCGUUAUCCGGAUUUAUUGGGUUUAAAGGGUGCGUAGGCGGGCCUUUAAGUCAGCGGUAAAAAUUCGGGGCUAAACCCCGGCCGGUCGU
Molecule: ribosomal RNA, 296 nt
Filed under: uncultured bacterium
Lineage: Bacteria
Description: partial 16S ribosomal RNA
Rfam family: Bacterial small subunit ribosomal RNA
Source: RNAcentral